This 506-nucleotide ribosomal RNA is filed under the name uncultured bacterium. RNAcentral describes it as "bacterial SSU rRNA". It matches the Rfam family "Bacterial small subunit ribosomal RNA", at positions 9 to 511 of the family's 1533-position model. The record is from RNAcentral.
GAGUUUGAUCAUGGCUCAGAUUGAACGCUGGCGGCAGGCCUAACACAUGCAAGUCGAGCGGUAGAGAGAAGCUUGCUUCUCUUGAGAGCGGCGGACGGGUGAGUAAUGCCUAGGAAUCUGCCUGGUAGUGGGGGAUAACGCUCGGAAACGGACGCUAAUACCGCAUACGUCCUACGGGAGAAAGCAGGGGACCUUCGGGCCUUGCGCUAUCAGAUGAGCCUAGGUCGGAUUAGCUAGUUGGUGAGGUAAUGGCUCACCAAGGCGACGAUCCGUAACUGGUCUGAGAGGAUGAUCAGUCACACUGGAACUGAGACACGGUCCAGACUCCUACGGGAGGCAGCAGUGGGGAAUAUUGGACAAUGGGCGAAAGCCUGAUCCAGCCAUGCCGCGUGUGUGAAGAAGGUCUUCGGAUUGUAAAGCACUUUAAGUUGGGAGGAAGGGCAGUAAAUUAAUACUUUGCUGUUUGACGUUACCGACAGAAUAAGCACCGGCUAACUCUGUGCCAG